This 492-nucleotide ribosomal RNA is filed under the name Sungouiella pseudointermedia. RNAcentral describes it as "LSU rRNA". It matches the Rfam family "Eukaryotic large subunit ribosomal RNA", at positions 62 to 562 of the family's 3401-position model. Lineage: Eukaryota; Fungi; Ascomycota; Pichiomycetes; Serinales; Metschnikowiaceae. The record is from RNAcentral.
AAACCAACAGGGAUUGCCUCAGUAACGGCGAGUGAAGCGGCAAAAGCUCAAAUUUGAAAUCCUUCGGGAGUUGUAAUUUGUAGGUUGGGAGACCCCGCGGCUAGUGGCACCAAGUCCCUUGGAACAGGGCGCCUUAGAGGGUGAGAGCCCCGUAGGUACCACAACACCGUCUUGUGUCUCCUCUCCAAAGAGUCGAGUUGUUUGGGAAUGCAGCUCAAAGUGGGUGGUAAAUUCCAUCUAAAGCUAAAUACCGGCGAGAGACCGAUAGCGAACAAGUACAGUGAUGGAAAGAUGAAAAGCACUUUGAAAAGAGAGUGAAACAGUACGUGAAAUUGUUGAAAGGGAAGGGCUUGCAAGCAGACACGGCCUUCGUGCCGGGCCAGCAUCGGUUGCUAGGGGUGGAUAAGGAACAAGGAAUGUAGCUCCUCGGAGUAUUAUAGCCUUGCGCGAUACACCCACUGGCGACCGAGGCCUGCGGUAUUCUUUACCCUA